This 243-nucleotide unclassified non-coding RNA is filed under the name plant metagenome. RNAcentral's name for it is "partial contains small subunit ribosomal RNA, internal transcribed spacer 1, and 5.8S ribosomal RNA". The record is from RNAcentral.
UCUCCGUUGGUGAACCAGCGGAGGGAUCAUUACCGAGUUUACAACUCCCAAACCCAAUGUGAACCAUACCAAACUGUUGCCUCGGCGGGGUCACGCCCCGGGUGCGUCGCAGCCCCGGAACCAGGCGCCCGCCGGAGGGACCAACCAAACUCUUUCUGUAGUCCCCUCGCGGACGUUAUUUUUACAGCUCUGAGCAAAAAUUCAAAUGAAUCAAAACUUUCAACAACGGAUCUCUUGGUUCUG